Molecule: ribosomal RNA, 279 nt
Filed under: uncultured bacterium
Lineage: Bacteria
Description: partial 16S ribosomal RNA
Rfam family: Bacterial small subunit ribosomal RNA
Source: RNAcentral
UGCCAGCAGCCGCGGUAAUACGGGGGGUGCAAGCGUUAUCCGGAUUCACUGGGUUUAAAGGGUGCGUAGGCGGAUUAAUAAGUCAGUGGUGAAAUCCUAUAGCUUAACUAUAGAACUGCCAUUGAAACUGUUAGUCUUGAGUUCGGUUGAUGUGGACGGAAUGUAGCAUGUAGCGGUGAAAUGCUUAGAUAUGCUACAGAACACCGAUUGCGAAGGCAGUUCACAAAGCCGAUACUGACGCUGAGGCACGAAAGCGUGGGGAGCGAACAGGAUUAGAUA